UGCUCUCCAGGAUUCCUGGACGCUGGCUUCAUCAAUGUCGUUGGUGGUAUGGUUGCUUCUCACCAAGUUAUCCCCGCUGUUUCCAGCCAGGGGUUGAAUCCCACCACCUCAGUCCCCACCCUGGAGUGAAACCAUCUUCAGAAAAGCCCUGCAGGCGCUUGUCAGAGGCACAUGUGCCUCCAGGGGCUCCGGGCGGCCUGCUCAGCCCCAGCGACCCUGCUCCCGCCAGCCCUCAGGCAGGCCACUCACAGCCCGACGUCUCCACACAGCCCCCUGCUCGGCAAAGCCUCUCCCUGUCAGGUCCGGUCACAACCCGAUAAAGAACUCCAUCAGAGGGAAGAGCCGGUGGACAGGGGCUCUGACAAGCCGAGCCAGGUGUUGGCGAGUCCUGACUGCCAGCCACGUGUGGCUACCGGUGACCCCCUGCAGGCCGCCCCUCUGGUCACUGCGUGAGUUUUAAUCCAUACCACAGACUCACCAAAGGCACUAAGAGAUACAGCCUGUAGCUCACGUUUUCGAGGGGAAGAGGCCGGAGAGUAAGAGGUAUUGAAUACCCACCCAAGGCCAGGCCUGGGCUGGGAGCCCUACUUAAGUUACCUGAUCGGUUGCGACCGCCAUCAUUACGGGGAGGUAUUGCUGUCCCCAUCUCGCAGACAAGGAAACGCAAGCUCUGAGGAUCAAAUGUCCUGCCCAGAAUAAUCCAAUGAAAUAACAAUAGUUGACACUUCUUGAACAUACGACAUACCAACACCUGUGCAUACCUCACUCAAGAGAAAUUAGUAACUAUUCACAUUAACUGAAAACAGAACGCACCCCACGAAGAUGGGAACGGGUUGCCGAAGACCUUGACGGAGAUCCGAAACGGUG
Sciurus carolinensis (gray squirrel) is the source of this 867-nucleotide long non-coding RNA. RefSeq lists it as uncharacterized. NCBI's taxonomy places the organism in Eukaryota, Metazoa, Chordata, Mammalia, Rodentia, Sciuridae. The transcript has 3 exons. The record is from RefSeq and is a predicted model, not a curated record.